Molecule: ribosomal RNA, 277 nt
Filed under: uncultured Prevotella sp.
Lineage: Bacteria; Pseudomonadati; Bacteroidota; Bacteroidia; Bacteroidales; Prevotellaceae
Description: partial 16S ribosomal RNA
Rfam family: Bacterial small subunit ribosomal RNA
Source: RNAcentral
CUUUCCUUGACGACGACUGGCGCACGGGUGAGUAACGCGUAUCCAACCUUCCCAUGACCACGGGAUAACCCGUUGAAAGACGGCCUAAUACCGUAUGACGUCGUUUGCCGACAUCGAAAGACGACCAAAGGUUUGGCGGUGAUGGAUGGGGAUGCGUCUGAUUAGCUUGUUGGCGGGGUAACGGCCCACCAAGGCUACGAUCAGUAGGGGUUCUGAGAGGAAGGUCCCCCACAUUGGAACUGAGACACGGUCCAAACUCCUACGGGAGGCAGCAGAG